This 471-nucleotide unclassified non-coding RNA is filed under the name Hevea brasiliensis (rubber tree). The record is from RNAcentral. Lineage: Eukaryota; Viridiplantae; Streptophyta; Magnoliopsida; Malpighiales; Euphorbiaceae.
CCUAUUUCUAUUUUUUUUUUUUUUGACAGCUUCUUUUUCUUCUCCUAUAUUUUUGCCAAAACCCUUUUUCUUUUUUAGUUUCUUUUCUUCUUUCUCAUUACCUACAUACUUUUGGCAAACACCAUGGAAUCUCCACCACUUCCUUUUCCUCACGGCUCUCCACUAUGGAUUAGCCCCCUUGCCAUACAACUACCCAACCCUGAAUCCCCUCCUCCAUAACCAACCUCCACCCCAUCCACUUAUCAAAGGAAAAGACGCUCAAAAAGAACUCAACCAACUUCUUAUUCUCCCCCAUCCACAAAAUGAAAUAACCCACCAACUGCAACUCAACCUUCUGAACCUCCACCAAAGAACCCCAAGAUUGCUGCUACGAAAUCAAAAGCAUUUAGCACUUGCACCAAAGAACCUCCACAAAUUGUAUUCUACUUCAUUCUUCACCAUUUUUGUACUUCUUCUAUCGGGUUUCUUUAG